RNAcentral lists this ribosomal RNA (254 nucleotides) under uncultured bacterium. RNAcentral's name for it is "partial 16S ribosomal RNA". It matches the Rfam family "Bacterial small subunit ribosomal RNA", at positions 524 to 776 of the family's 1533-position model. The record is from RNAcentral.
UACAGAGGUCCCAAGCGUUGUUCGGAUUCACUGGGCGUAAAGGGCGCGUAGGCGGUCAGCACAAGUCAGUUGUGAAAUCUCCGGGCUUAACUCGGAAAGGUCAACUGAUACUGUGCGACUAGAGUGCGGAAGGGGCAACUGGAAUUCUCGGUGUAGCGGUGAAAUGCGUAGAUAUCGAGAGGAACACCUGCGGCGAAGGCGGGUUGCUGGGCCGACACUGACGCUGAUGCGCGAAAGCCAGGGGAGCGAACGGG